RNAcentral lists this ribosomal RNA (253 nucleotides) under uncultured bacterium. RNAcentral's name for it is "partial 16S ribosomal RNA". It matches the Rfam family "Bacterial small subunit ribosomal RNA", at positions 524 to 776 of the family's 1533-position model. The record is from RNAcentral.
UACGGAGGAGGCAAGCGUUAUCCGGAAUUAUUGGGCGUAAAGCGUCCGUAGGUGGGUGAGGAAGUCUGCUGUUAAAGAGUGAGGCUUAACCUCAUAAGGGCAGUGGAAACUCUUCGUCUAGAGUGCGAUAGGGGCAAGGGGAAUUCCUAGUGUAGCGGUGAAAUGCGUAGAGAUUAGGAAGAACACCGGUGGCGAAAGCGCCUUGCUGGGUCUGCACUGACACUGAGGGACGAAAGCUAGGGGAGCGAAAGGG